This 73-nucleotide transfer RNA is filed under the name Schistocephalus solidus. It matches the Rfam family "tRNA". From Rfam's summary of the family: Transfer RNA (tRNA) molecules are approximately 80 nucleotides in length. Lineage: Eukaryota; Metazoa; Platyhelminthes; Cestoda; Diphyllobothriidea; Diphyllobothriidae. The record is from Rfam by way of RNAcentral.
GAGUCCAUGGCUCAGUGGUUAGAGCGUUUGACUUCUGAUCAACAUGCCGCAGGUUCGAGCCCCGGGUGGGUCA